Molecule: long non-coding RNA, 494 nt
Organism: Gallus gallus (chicken)
Lineage: Eukaryota; Metazoa; Chordata; Aves; Galliformes; Phasianidae
Source: Ensembl
UCACAUGGCAGGCAGAUCUCAAUAUGCAUAUUUACGUUCCACGUGGAAGAGCAGAGCCUCCCAUGCCCAGACCCUCCUGCUUGGCCGCUGCCUGAGGAUGCGUGUCUUGCCAAGGUUUUGCCUUAAGCAGAGGAAGGAUGAAAAAUGCAGGGCCAGAGACUUUCUUACAGCUGAAAACCGCUGUCUGCUGCGCUGCUCCUCGGGACAGCACCGAGCAGGGAAACGCCUCCGCCACCCAGCAGUCAUUCUCUUCAUAGUGGGACAAGUGCAGAAUGGUGGAGGGGAAGCUCGGAUGGUGGUCCUGUCCAGGGAGACGCAGCCUCAUGUCUCCCACCCUCCUCCGCUUUGAUGACUGAACAUGUAGGACCGGUAAAACUCAAAUUUCAGAAGGGCUUUUUUUGAUAGUUAUAUAAAGGCAUCUAUUCCCGGAUAAGAUCUUCCAAGCAGAUCUUAUCUGGGAAUUAUUUUUGUGGUAGCAAUGGGGUGAUCAUCAC